UGCCCUUAAUCCAUGCUUGUCCAGGUAGCAUCAUCAUCUUAAAAGAGACUCCUCCAAAAACCCUGUGGGAAAAAUAUGAGGAGUAUAGGGUUUGAUAUGUUGCCAAAACUCUUUCAAACCCAGCGGGAAAAAUAGAGAGAAAAAUAAUGCAACAUAUAAUAAUUAUUGUCUCUUUCAACUCAAUAUGAGAAAACUCAUAGAACUAAAAGGACAAUAAAUAUGUCGUAUAUACUUUCCUAAAAACCCCGAUGGGGAAAACUGAAAGUAUGACAUAUGAUCUCAUGUUGAUAUUACCUCAUUAAAAACCUUUAUGAGAACCUGUAAAGUAAACUCAUGAAGGGAAAAAAAGUAUAAUAUGAUGCAUUGAACAGGAACAAUUCAGAAAGAUACUCCCCCCGAUUCUUGUAAAAUUCGAAGUCGUCACCUACCAAUUCCAUGAACACAUUUCUAGAACAUAGAAGUUAGUAGAAGCCCGACGAACAAAUCAGUCGAAUGAUUUGACUUGCAAGAUAUGCAAUAUAGUGAUAUUGCUUAUUAUGUAACCUGUUUGCAUCCGGGCAACACAAGAAACAUUAUCGUUGAGAUAAUGGUUGGUGGGUGUAGCCAUGAGGUCUGUUUCGAAUACUCCUCAUGAGAAGGCUACUACACCUAGGAGGAACACUAAGCUUGUCUACGAUCUGAUAUAGUAGAGAUCUGAUUGAUGUACCCAACGAUAUCGGUGUUCACAUUUCUGUGAAACUGAAAAACCAGGACAAGAUGUUUGAUGCCUAUGCAGAUUAUUGAUGACUACAUAUUAUCGAUGGACAAGAAAAUUGAUCUCAACCGCAAUGAGAUUAUCUUUCAAGAAAAAGAAAUUUUCUCAAUCGCAAAUGUCGUGCGAGAAAACUUAAUCUCAAUCGCAAAACAGUGUCGUUGUACUAAUAUGACAUGUUAUAGGAAUUGCUAAAAAGCAAACACAUUAAACAUGCCACAUAUAAUAACCACAUAUUUUUUGGAAUGCUAAACUCAACAGAAAAUGGGCUAAAUGAUGAUCGGUAUAUGGCCUAAACAUUACCAGUGCUAUAAAUAGCAAGUAGUUGGACCAAGCUGCAAUAUCCCGAAACAUCCCGGAAGUAGCCACAAAAUGAUGACAGACACAAGUUUUGGGCUAUUCCGUAAAUAGGUAAGCCGCAAGGGCUAAAUUGCAAAACUAGCAAAGAGAUAAGGUUCGGUUCUAUCUCUUUCCUCCCCAGCGAUUUCCACCAGGAGAAAUCGUGUAACCACCUCGUCGCCGUUUUGGCUCGACGGCCAGGGCCACGACUAUGAGCCCGCCGUCGUCUCCACCGCGGGGAGCCACGACAGAGGGAGCAGCCGCCACCGUGGCCGGAGGGCUAGCGUCGGGCCGUUGCCUCGGGCGCCGCCUGCACGGAUGCAAGCCGAGGGCUGCGGCGUCGCCUCUGCCCGGGCUGUGGACCGCGCUGCCGCGUGCCUGAGGGCAUCGCCAUGCCUGGCACCGGCCGUUGGCCGCUGCGGCCGCCUCCAGGUGUAGCGCUAGGAGCAGCCGGGCCGAAGGAUGCUACCGCUCCGCUAGGAGGCUGGCCGAGGGAGCGCUGUCCAGGCCAUGGGUCGCCGACGAAGUUUGCCUUGGAUGGCAUUCAAACGACGCCCUGGAGAUCGUGAGACUUGCCGCGCCUGGGUGGGUGCUGGCUGCCGCCGUCUUCGCCGACCGAUGUGCCGUGAGCGGCCAUGGGGCGUGGAGACGCGUCGUGCGCCACCAUGGCGUGGGGGCCGUGGCCGGUAGCCGCCGGGAGCCACGGCUGCGUGUGUAGGCGAAGGAGCCGAACAUCGGAUGUUGGCUCGCCGUGUCAGCCUCUGGGGCCGAGGGGCGCCGUGCAGCACGCGCAGGCCGGAGGGAGCGUCACUGCGGAGGGCCGGCCGUCUCGCAGCGCCUUGGUGCCGCAUCCGCCGCCGUUCUUCCGCUGUGACCUAUUUCUCUAAUCGAGAGUGGAGUGCGUGAUAACGUGUUCGAGAUCGAUAGAACAAAUGAUUGAACUAUCUCUUUGCAUUAGAUGAAGUGCCAUACAUAGCACUGGAACAUGCGUUUACAAACGGGGUGUCGGUUCAGACAGAACCGACACAACGGGUGGAGAAGUAACCGCAAUGGUUAAUACAAGCAGGGAUUAAUCCCUUAAUUGCUAUGUUAAUUAAUCUUAACAGUUUAAUUAGGGACGAGAAUAGUCGUCUACUAGUUGAUGCCAACCAUAAUUUGAUGUAACGUUGACGCAUUCAUCUCAUGUAUUCAAGGCUGCGGGCUUAGACGCUGAAUUAUUAAUGGGAGAAUGGGUCAAAUAUUGAAUUCGGGAUGACGAGAGAAUCUUCAAUUCUUGCCAAUAGAUACUUUUCUUUUUGCGAGCAAGAUACUUGAUUUUUGUUGGUUUUGUUUUCAAUGAAAAUGGAG
RNAcentral lists this ribosomal RNA (2437 nucleotides) under Triticum aestivum (bread wheat). Its description in RNAcentral is "partial small subunit ribosomal RNA". Lineage: Eukaryota; Viridiplantae; Streptophyta; Magnoliopsida; Poales; Poaceae. The record is from RNAcentral.